CGUUUCGUCAUGUUGGCCAGGCUGGUCUCAAACUCCAGACCUCAGGUGAUCUGCUCCCUCACAGCCCCCCGGCCUCCCAAAGUGCAGAAUCGAGGCCAUCAAGCUACAGAUGGUCUUACAAAUGGAACCCCAAAUGAGCUCAACUAACAACUUCUACCGAGGACCCCUGGACCGACCUGCUGGCCCUUCCACUGGCCUAAAGAGUUCCCCUCUGGAGGACACUACAACUGCAGGGCCACUUCUUCGCCCCUAUCCAGCAGGAAGUAGCUAGAGCAGUCAUCAGCCAAAUUCCCAACAGCAGUCAAGGUAUCCUAUUUAGAGGGGGGAUUGAGAGGUGACAAUGUGCUAGCAGCCCUGGCUCGCUCUUGGCGCCUCCGCGGCCUCGGUGUCCACUCUGGAUGCACUGGAGGAGCCCUUCAGCCUGCCACUGCACUGUGGGGGCCCCUCUCUGGGGCUGGCCAAGGCCGGAGCCGGCUCCCUCUGUUCACGGGGAGGUGUGGAGGGAGAGGCAUGGGUGGGAGCUGGGGCUGUGCACAGUGCUUGCGGGCCAGCGUGGGUUCCAGGUGAGCUUGAUCAAGGAACGAGCUCCCUCUGGGCUGCUGGAGUGCCUGGGCUAGGUGCCACGAAGUCCCACGGCAAGUGCCAUCGAGAGGUGAAGCCGGCUAGGCUUCUGGGUCAGGUGGGGACUUGGAGAACUUUUGUCUAGCUAAAGGAUUGUAAAGGCACCAGUCAGCACUCUGUGUCUAGCUAAAGGUUUGUAAACUCACCAAUCAGCGCUCUAUCAAAACAGACCAAUCAGCUCUCUGUAAAACGGACCAAUCAGCUCUCUGUAAAAUGGACCGAUCAGCUCUCUGUAAAAUGGACUAAUCAGUAGGAUGUGGGUGGGGCCAGAUAAGGGAAUAAAAGCAGGCCACCUGAGCCAGCAGUGGCAAUCUGCUAGGGUCCCCUUCCAUGCUGUGGAAGCUUUGUUGUUUCGCUCUUCACAGUAAAUCUUGCUGCUGGUUACUCUUUGGGUCCGCGCCCCCUUUAUGAGCUGUUAACACUCACCGCGAAGGUCUGCAGCUUCACUCCUGAAGCCAGCGAGACCACGAGCCCACCAGAAGGAACGGACAAUUCCAGACGUGCCGCCUUUAAGAGCUGUAACACUCACCGUGAAGGUCUGCAGCUUCACUCCUGAAGUCAGCGAGACCACAAACCCACCAGAAGGAAGAAAUUCCGGACACAUCUGAACAUCUGAAUGAACAAACUCCGGACACACCAUCUUUAAGAACUGUAACGCUCACUGCGAGGGUCCGCAGCUUCAUUCUUGAAGUCAGCGAGACCAAGAACCACCAAUUCCAGACAUACAGGGAUUACAAGCGUGAGCCACCGUGCCCCAUCAUAAAGCUCUUAAUAUAGUACCUGGCACAUCUUUCAAACUCAGAAUUUUUGAAACGUAACACAUUUUUUUUUAUGUUAACAAUUUCAUCUUACUGACUGACUUUAGUCUCUUGAGUCUUUAAAAAAUUUACAUAAGCUGGGUGCAGUGACUCAUGCCUAUAAUCCUAGCACUUUGAGAGGCCAAGGCAGAAAGAUCACCUGAGGUCAGGGGUUCAAGACCAGCCUGGCCAACAUGGUGAAACCCCAUCUCUACUAAAAAUACAAAAAUCAGCCGGAUGUGGUGGCGUGCACCUGUAAUCCCAGCGAGGGAGGCUGAGGCAGGAGAAUCGCUUGAACCGGGCAGUAGAGGUUGCAGUGAGCCAAGAUCACACCACUGCACUCCAGCCUGGGCAUCAGAGUAAGAAUUUGUCUCAAAAAAAAAAUUUACAUCAUUCCUUUGGGGUUUUUGUAGGCUGGUAAUGGACUGUUUACUACGUUUAAAAAAAAUUCUUAAGUCUUUGAGGAAAUAUUUACGCUUUCAGCUCUUCCCCAACCUCUCGCAUAAAGCAAACAGAAAUGUAAAAAGGUCACUUUGUAAACUUUUAAAGUGCCCAUAGAAAGCUCACUACCUGACACCAGCAGUUGUCCUAAGCUGACCAUAACGCAAUAGAAUUAGAAAUCAGUAACAUGUUUUUCCUUUUUUUAUAGGGAAAGACAAAUUGAGUUUUAGCAUGGAGUUAAGCAAAUAAAUCUGUAGUGGAGGAAAUACAAUUUCUCCUCAAGCCUCAUAAGUUCAUAGUUGGGACAGAUCCCUAUAACAAAAGACAGAUUAACAAGAGAAAAACAAGUAAUUUUAUUAAUAUAUGCAGUGUACAUCACACAGGAGAAAACUCAAUGAAAAGGUAAACACAAGUAGUGGCUUACAACUCUGGAUUAUAUAGCAUCUUCCACAAAGAAUACAUUUCAGAGAAGUGUGACAAGACAAAGGAAAGCAGUUUUAGGCUUCCAGAGGCAGAAACUGUGGAAGGUAAAUAUAUGUUAAGAAACUAAUAGUUUCUUGUUUGUAGAUUCCUCUGGUGCUGUCUCAGCUGAUUAGAGCCAUCUUCUCAUCUUGGUAUCAGGAAAGCAUCUUUCUCAAAGAAGUUUGUAUGGCUUGCUACAGGUAGGAAAGGACAGUUUAAAUAGCCAUUUCUGCAACUACUGUUUGUCAAGCACCUUUAGCUCGAAAUAAUCAGUAUGCCAAAUCGGCGUAUUUGGGGGUGGCAUGUUCAAAUUUCCUUCAGAUAAAAAGAACAGAAAGGUCAGAAUCUGGCCCUUACAUAGUAACUGCAUGACAGAUGUUGCACUUGAAAAAUUGGUACUUGGAGGAACAGCUAUAAAUAUGUAAAAAUAAUUAAAACAAGAUUCCAAAAUCAUGCCAUAAAAGAAAACAAAUUUCAGUUGGACUAAACAUGUAAAUGUUAAAAACAAAAAUUUUGUAACUUUUGGAAGGCUGAAUAGGACUAUUUUUAUGACAUUUCCUAUACAAAAACCAGAAAAAGCAAAUCAUUAUGAAAGAUUGGUAAAAUUACGUUUUUAAAAAUUCAAGAUUUCAUAACCAAAAUAUGAAGACAAACCAGACUAAAAAAGAUAAUUGAAACAUACAUAACGGAUCAUUAGUAUUCAAAAUAUGUAAUAUCUAAAAACUGAAAAGUAAAAAAAACAACAUAGAAAAAUGAGCAAAAAUGCCUGUAAUCCCAGUGCUUUAGGAGGAGGCAAGAUGGGAGGAUUGUUUGAGUCCAAGUUUACGGUUACAGUGAGCUAUGAUCCUGCCACCACACUCCAGCCUGAGCAAUAGAGUGAGAUCUUGUCUCUUAAAAACAAAAAAAAGAGUAAAAGAUAUGGCCUCAGAAAUCACACACUGCAUUUGCUCAAUAUCCUGGUAGUUACAAAAGUCAGCACUGUAAAAUGCAGGAGAAGGCUAUACUGGGGCAUGAACACCAGGAGGCCAGGGAUCACUGGGGCCAUCUGGAAGCUGGCUACCACAUAUAUAAAACAAUAUUUUGUAGCGCUUUUAAAAAAUAUAUUUGUAUUAAAAAUAUAAAAACACAUGCUAGAAUAUAUGCCCCCUCUAGUGGUUACCUCUGGGGACUCUGGGGACUCUGGGGAGGGAGGAAUGGGACAGGAUCAAAGAGGUAACAAAGCAAACUUCAAAUGUAUCUAACAUUUGCAAUUACAUGCAUAUGUGUGUCUGAAGAAAAUAUAGCCAAAUGUUAACAUUUAUUACAUCUGCAUGGUAGAAAUACAUGGAUUUUCUUGAAGUCAUUUACCUUUCCUAUAUCUUUGAAAUAUGUCAAUAAAAAGUUUUAAGUUAAUGAAUCCAAACAAAUGGAAAUAAAAUGUGCUUUUAAUAAUAAUUUAUUUUUACACAUUUUAAAAAUUGCAAUUUUCAGGAGAUGUAAGACGAAUAUUUUUCUAAUACUGAAAUAAGCAUAUCUUUGGUAUAGAAAUCACACCCUAUGUGUUUAUCUUUAACUAAAAAAACUAAUCAAGAACUAUGACCUAAUAUGUUAAACAAAACUAUUCUUUGCCCAUCCAUCUGUCCCCUCUCAUAGCCCCAUUGUGGGGCCUUAGAAUAUAGUUCUGUACCUAUCUCCAUAUCUACAAAGAAUUAAGAUGUUGUAUCAAAAAUGUCCAGAAGUUAUAUAUGGUAGAGAAUUAGUUGGCUUAAUCGUUGACACACAACACAAAACACCAAAAGCAACAUAAGAUACAGGAUGCAAAAUAGAACACUGUCACUAAGAUCAAAUAAUACAAAAAAAUCACAUCAUUUAAAUUUGAUGCAUUGCAAACAAAGUAACUUCUUUAGAAUUAUUAUGUACACAACUUGCAAAACUUAAAAAGUAAUAGCACAGAGCCAUAAAUCUGAUAAGGCACUUUAAAGAUAGCAGUCAAACAUAUACAAAUAUCAAAUACAAACACUGUUAAACUGCAAAAGCAGUAACCACAGAAAUAAAUAGUGAAAAAAUACGCAUUCUUUCUAAACAGUCUUUCCCUUUCUGAAGUAAAGUCUUUAAAAAAAAAAUCAAAGAAGUACAAAAAAUAUU
Long non-coding RNA from Gorilla gorilla gorilla (western lowland gorilla), 4445 nucleotides. RefSeq lists it as uncharacterized. The record is from RefSeq and is a predicted model, not a curated record. The transcript is spliced from 2 exons. Lineage: Eukaryota; Metazoa; Chordata; Mammalia; Primates; Hominidae.